UGGACACCCUCAGGGUGGAGCCUGGUGGAGUCCGAUGGUUGAGACCAGGUCUGAGGAAGUAUUACUGUGAACUCACCAUCGACACAAACACAGUAAACAGAUCAAACUGUCUGGCAACAACAUGAAGGUGACACGUGUGGAGGAGGAUCAGUCAUAUCCUGAUCAGCCAGACAGAUUUGACCAGUGUCCUCAGCUGCUGUGUAGUAAUGGCCUGACAGGUCGCUGUUACUGGGAGGUUGAGUGGAGUGGAAGGGUUUAU
Toxotes jaculatrix (banded archerfish) is the source of this 259-nucleotide long non-coding RNA. RefSeq lists it as uncharacterized. NCBI's taxonomy places the organism in Eukaryota, Metazoa, Chordata, Actinopteri, Toxotidae. The record is from RefSeq and is a predicted model, not a curated record. The transcript is spliced from 3 exons.